UAGAAAAAAUUUCUCAUCAAUCUGCGAAAGCGAGAAGUUCGGCUAUAAUAUGAAAGUUACGAAUCGAACUUGGAUAAUUUAAUUUCUCCUCCUAUCUCAGGCACUCUGCCGCAUGGUAUGGAAUCGAUAAUAAUUCUUCAUCAGAAUACAUAUGAGAAGGUUGCAAGAUCAAUAUCCCUUUUUAUAGACUUCAGAUCGACUUCCCAUCAAAAUCUGAUUAGAAUUUUAUUUAAUUUAAAUAGAUAGGAUAGGAUAGGGAUAAAAUAUACCAUAUCAAUAGUUCUAUAUCUAUUAGAAUUGGCCUUUAUUUAUAUUAAAAUUCAGAUUUGAAUAUAAUUAAUUGAGCCAUAAUUUAU
Molecule: long non-coding RNA, 356 nt
Filed under: Ananas comosus (pineapple)
Lineage: Eukaryota; Viridiplantae; Streptophyta; Magnoliopsida; Poales; Bromeliaceae
Description: long non-coding RNA (ACOM_LNC016162)
Source: RNAcentral